This 1169-nucleotide unclassified non-coding RNA is filed under the name Leishmania donovani. Its description in RNAcentral is "gene:unknown". Lineage: Eukaryota; Euglenozoa; Kinetoplastea; Trypanosomatida; Trypanosomatidae. The record is from RNAcentral.
AACGCUGUAUGCUGCUGCUGCUGUAUCCAAUCUUGUAUCUCUUCGGUUACUUGUUUUCCUUUCAUUUCUGUGCUCGUCGUGAUCUUGAUGACGAUGCCCUCAGAUGACGUGCGGACGCACCUCGAUGCUGGUGGUUUCUCAGGCAGCCGGGGCCCCCUCCAUCCUGUGAUGUAAGAGCUCCUUGUCGCUACUACUUCGCGGCGGUCGGGCCCCGAAUGGCGUUGCCUCGGAGCGACGCUCGACGGUGCGUACGUCUGCGUCAUCCACAAGAUUGGGCAGAGUGUCGGCAUGACUCGAGCACAGCCCACCCCCACCCCUCACACCGCCUGCUGGUGUGGGAAGCCUGAAUGCCACCCCCGAGAAGGGAUGCACCAGGUGGCAACCUCCAUGAUGAGAGCGGCUGUGAGGCGGCCUGCGAGGGGCGGGGUGGGUGGGUAGAGGUUGGGGUCAGAGGUCGUGCUCCGGCGCCUGAGUCGGCGCACUGCUGUAGCACGUGCCAUUCGCUGCUUCGCAUCACGCGACGGGGGGCCUGUGACAGGGCGGGAGGUAGAGUGGCGCUUGAACGGAUGCGCUAAGGCAACGAAUUGGUCGCGGUGGAGACGCAAUCGGUGGUUAGGUUUGAACGGUGUGUUCUUCGAAUGCUGCUCGCGUGGCGUUCGGCACACGGGCAACCGUACACGCAUGGAGAUGAGAGUGUGCACGUUCUUGGGCGGGUGGGUCCUUAGUGUACGGGGUUUUCUUCGAAUGCGAUGGCCAUGAGCGGCUGCUUUUUAAACAGAAGCCGGCGCUCACCACGUGUGGUCAUGCGGAGACGGCGUGGAACUGGGCGAAACCUAUUCACCGAGGCCGUUCCUCUGCCGCUGUGCGUCCCUUUCGUUCACCACUCCUUGAUUGCUUGUUUUAUGAAGCUGCGGUCGUCGAUGCGGGGCAGGGCGCCGCGAAAGCGAAACGGUUCUUUUUUUCAGCUUGCUUUCGAACACCUCUCUCGCUAUCUCUUGCUCGAUCUCUGUCACAGUGGCAACGCUGCGUACCUCAAGGACAAGUUUGUGUAUGGCAGCUCACCCCCACUCGCAAUCUCGUCUUAUCAACUCGAACGCGUUCACUGAUUAUAAUCAUGCCUUGCCUUUCACGCUCCUCUCACAGCAAUGCAACAUCUCACCACAAUACAG